Molecule: non-coding RNA, 29 nt
Filed under: Cricetulus griseus (Chinese hamster)
Lineage: Eukaryota; Metazoa; Chordata; Mammalia; Rodentia; Cricetidae
Source: RNAcentral
CAUUUUGUAGAAUAAAAUGAAUUAAGAUC